UACGGGGGGGCAAGCGUUGGUUCGGAUUUACUGGGCGUAAAGGGCGCGGUAGGCGGAUCGUGACAAGUCGUACUUGUGAAAUCUCCGGGCUUAACUCGGAACGGUCAAGUGAUACUGUCGGACUAGAGUACAGAAGGGGCAACUGGAAUUCUCGGUGUAGCGGUGAAAUGCGUAGAUAUCGAGAGGAACACCAGUGGCGAAGGCGGCUCACUGGCCCGGUACUGACGCUGAGGCGCGGAAAGCGUGGGGAGCAAACAGG
Molecule: ribosomal RNA, 259 nt
Filed under: uncultured bacterium
Lineage: Bacteria
Description: partial 16S ribosomal RNA
Rfam family: Bacterial small subunit ribosomal RNA
Source: RNAcentral